CAAAAGCAGCAGAAGUUAAACGCAAAGGUAACGCGGCACACGCAAGAGCAAGCAGCAGUUUUUGUGUGUGUGUGUGUGUGUGUGUCUGUUUUUUUACUGUAAGCGCUCGGAGUUUCCCGCGAAUGCAAGAGGAACCCGGCGUCUCGAGCAGAAUGAAUGGUUAUCCAGCCACCAUAAACAGCGCUAGAGCGAAGGAAGCUGUUAAAAGAUGCAGCGCCGGGAGUCUUUUAAAGCCUGGUUCUUCUGGAGACUUUGCAGAGCUCAACCACGGAAGUCAGAGCGCUAUGGGCCGAAGAUGACCGAUAAAGGUCCAGACAUGAAGGAGACAGCGUCUUGUCUGUGGCAUCUCACAAUGUGAAGAGCUUUCAGCGUGUUGUGAGUUUCCAAAGUUGUUUCAGGAGAUACACUGGAUUAGGUGGGAUGCCAAAUCACUCCUGGCGACUGGUGAGAUGAGUUUAAAUGUUCAGAUGAUAGUUCACCUUAAAAUGACAUUUCUGUCAUCAUUCAUGUUGUUCCAACCCUGUAUGAGUUUCUUUCUUCUGUUGAACACAAAUGAAGAUAUUUCAAAGACUGUUGGUAACCAAAUGUUUUCUAGUCUCCACUGACUUCCAUGGAAUGGAGAAAAAAAAUACUGUGGAAGUCAAAGGCCACCAGUAACUGUUUUGGUACCAACAAAUUAAUUAAUGUUUGGAAGAAUAUAUGGAUGAAUAAAAGAUGACAGAAGUUUCAUUUUUAUUCCUUUAAAGGUGCUUUCAGUACUUUUUACCAUUUAAACAAACAGAAAUACUUCAAAAUAAAUAGUACUAGUGAUUUUAAAAGUCAUAUCAGUAGCCCAAUAAAAGAUGCUUUAUUUUACACAGAGUGGGUCGUCUUAUGAAGGCCAUCAUUUUAAGAUGUUAUCGAGCUGAAAACUACUCAUUUGAAUUAUCAUAAUAUUGUAAACUUUUGCUUGCUGAAUAUAUUAAUCACAGUGUGAAAAUUUGCCUUUCUACAAUCUAACUGAAUGCUUUGCAUCCACACCAUCUAGAUGUCAGUAUGUCAUGUUCGAAAUUGUA
This is a long non-coding RNA of Carassius carassius (crucian carp), 1055 nucleotides long. RefSeq lists it as uncharacterized. The record is from RefSeq and is a predicted model, not a curated record. The transcript is spliced from 4 exons. Lineage: Eukaryota; Metazoa; Chordata; Actinopteri; Cypriniformes; Cyprinidae.